Long non-coding RNA from Xenia sp. Carnegie-2017, 2052 nucleotides. RefSeq lists it as uncharacterized. NCBI's taxonomy places the organism in Eukaryota, Metazoa, Cnidaria, Anthozoa, Malacalcyonacea, Xeniidae. The transcript is spliced from 2 exons. The record is from RefSeq and is a predicted model, not a curated record.
UUCCAAAGUGACAAACAACUGUGUGGUAGAAAAAAUUAUAACGAUUAUUACUGCAAUACUCAUCACUUUUUUGAUUCUACGUAACUUCAAAAGCGAGAGCAAUAAUUGUGAAUACUUUAAUGACACCAUAAAUUAAGUAAAGCACGUACAUCAGGUACCUGGAAAUAUAGCAGCUUUGCUGAGAUGAAAACCUUGAAAAAAAGAAGAAAGAUUUGUUAUUUUCGUCUUGGUAUAUUUGAAAUGCCAGCGAAAAGUACGUAUAGGAAUUUGGGGGAGGGAGUAAGGCCAAUAUAAGCCUCUUGAGAGCUGAAAUUAAAUGUUUCUUUGCGCUAUAACAACAAUGCUACACUAACUUCCCCCUUCUUCUGGAGAAUAUUGCAACAAAAAAGGUGGGGCAAAUUAUCGUUUCAAUCCGUUUACAGGAAAUGAAUUUUUACAAUCACUCACGUAUUUGGGAUGUACAUGUGAAUCCACGACAUGCAUGUGGACGUCACGAGGCCAAUUUAAAAAAAAGCGGAUUCAAAAAUAUUGAGAUACGUGUUGACGAGUCAUAAACAUUAUACCGACUGUAUGAAUACAAGUGAUCAAAUUGCAUUAAACCAUUCAGUCAAUGCCAAUCAUCCCAGAGACAAGAAAUUAGAACAGUUGAUUAAACUGUCUGAGAUCUCACUAUGGUACUCUCACGAUAUUUCCAAAACGUCUAUGCUUCCUUUAUUUACGGAUUCCUUAUUCUUACAAGUUUGAUCUCAGUAUAUCCAAUGACCAAUACUGGCGAUUUUUUGGAAACUUGCAAUUCGACUCAACCAAAUCAUAUAAAUAACUCAAGGAAUUCAUCUGGUUUACGUAAUCAAAGUGCUAGUUUUUCACUUGGCCAAGAAACAUUAAUAACAACGAUGGUGGUCUCCACAAUUAGUGUCCUAACAAAUGGUCUUCUUAUUGUUGUUAUUGUGAAGGAUCCUUUAAGCAAACUAAGACGAGGACCUUGGAUUACAAUCUUAAGCUUAUCUAUUGCUGAUUUCACUGCAUCUUUGUCCCAAUUCAUGAUUGUUGGAUUGGGUAAAUUGUUCGAGGUCAAACCAUCAGAAGCUGUCAUUUAUUCUGUCCUUUUCUUUUGGAUGUUUGGGGCUGCGGGCUCAUUUUUUCACUUGACAUCACUCACAUGGCAAAAUUACAUAAUUGCAAAGUAUCCCAUACGUAGCCGACAGAUGUUGUCUACCAGGAAAAUAUACAUAUUAUGCGUGACUGUUUGGUUGAUUGCCAUUGUCAUGGCAUUUGGUGAACUCACACCAAUUUACAGCAAGAAUAACGAACAGCCUAUGUACACCUAUAUCACGGUAUAUGCUGUCUUGGAAAUCGCUGUUUUACUUCAGAUCAUAUUGAAGUGUUUCAUACUUAAGGUUGUAUUGUAAAGUCGACAAGACACUAAAGUAAAUGCUGAAUAGCACAACACUAAACACUUUGAAAUUGUAAAGGCAAUCAUUGUGCUGAAUGUCUUAUUACUGGUAACUGCAUUUCCUUAUUUUGUCGCCAAACAAUUGGAGUUUUUUUCAAAGGCUAGGAAAAAUACAAGGUGAAUUGGCUUGGCGUUUUUCUUACUACUACGAACCAGUUGCCAUGGUGAAUUUUGCUGUCAAUCCAAUUGUGUAUGCACUGAGGCUUCCAGAUUAUCGAAACAGUAUGAAGGCGCUGUUUAAAAAGACUAGAAUUUUUUCCAUUCAAAAACCAGGGCAUUCCCUCUUUUCACUUCGUACUAGUGCUAGUAAACCUGUAUGAUAGAUAAUAUGUUCUAAACUCAAUUUGAUUAAAAAUGUACGAAUAGUGCUAAUAGUUUUUAUUGGAAGGAUAAAUUCCAAAGUGACAAACAACUGUGUGGUAGAAAAAAUUAUAACGAUUAUUACUGCAAUACUCAUCACUUUUUUGAUUCUACGUAACUUCAAAAGCGAGAGCAAUAAUUGUGAAUACUUUAAUGACACCAUAAAUUAAGUAAAGCACGUACAUCAGGUACCUGGAAAUAUAGCAGCUUUGCUGAGAUGAAAACCUUGAAAAAAAGAA